AACGAACGCUGGCGGCAUGCCUAACACAUGCAAGUCGAACGAGACCUUCGGGUCUAGUGGCGCACAGGUGCGUAACGCGUGGGAAUCUGCCCUUGGGUUCGGGAUAACAGUUGGAAACGACUGCUAAUACCGGAUGAUGACUUCGGUCCAAAGAUUUAUCGCCCAGGGAUGAGCCCGCGUCGGAUUAACUAGUUGGUGAGGUAAGAGCUCACCAAGGCGACGAUCCGUAGCUGGUCUGAGAGGAUGAUCAGCCACACUGGGACUGAGACACGGCCCAGACUCCUACGGGAGGCAGCAGUGGGGAAUAUUGGACAAUGGGCGAAAGCCUGAUCCAGCAAUGCCGCGUGAGUGAUGAAGGCCUUAGGGUUGUAAAGCUCUUUUACCCGGGAUGAUAAUGACAGUACCGGGAGAAUAAGCCCCGGCUAACUCCGUG
This 433-nucleotide ribosomal RNA is filed under the name uncultured bacterium. RNAcentral describes it as "partial 16S ribosomal RNA". It matches the Rfam family "Bacterial small subunit ribosomal RNA", at positions 29 to 507 of the family's 1533-position model. The record is from RNAcentral.